UACGUAGGGUGCAAGCGUUAAUCGGAAUUACUGGGCGUAAAGCGUGCGCAGGCGGUGAUGUAAGACAGGUGUGAAAUCCCCGGGCUUAACCUGGGAACUGCAUUUGUGACUGCAUCGCUGGAGUGCGGCAGAGGGGGAUGGAAUUCCGCGUGUAGCAGUGAAAUGCGUAGAGAUGUGGAGGAACACCGAUGGCGAAGGCAAUCCCCUGGGCCUGUACUGACGCUCAUGCACGAAAGCGUGGGGAGCAAACAGG
RNAcentral lists this ribosomal RNA (253 nucleotides) under uncultured bacterium. RNAcentral's name for it is "partial 16S ribosomal RNA". It matches the Rfam family "Bacterial small subunit ribosomal RNA", at positions 524 to 776 of the family's 1533-position model. The record is from RNAcentral.